Molecule: ribosomal RNA, 424 nt
Filed under: uncultured bacterium
Lineage: Bacteria
Description: partial 16S ribosomal RNA
Rfam family: Bacterial small subunit ribosomal RNA
Source: RNAcentral
AAUUUUGGACAAUGGGGGAAACCCUGAUCCAGCCAUCCCGCGUGUAUGAUGAAGGCCNNNGGGUUNUCAAGUAUUUUUGGCAGNGACNAAAAGGCAUCCCCUAAUACGGGAUGCUGCUGACGGUAUCUGUAGCAGAAGCACCGGCUAACUACGUGCCAGCAGCCGCGGUAGUACGUCGGGUGCAAGCGUUCAACGGAAUUACUGGGCGUAAAACGUGUGUAGGCGGUUCGGAAAGAAAGAUGUGGAAUCCCACGGGUCAACCUUGGAACUGCAUUUUUAACUGCCGAGCUAGAGUAUGUCAGAGGGGGGUAGAAUUCCACGUGUAGCAGUGAAAUGCGUAGAUAUGUGGCGGAAUACCGAUGGCGAAGGCAGCCCCCUGGGAUAAUACUGACGCUCAGACACGAAAGCGUGGGGAGCAAACAGG